GCUGCAGGUUGUUGGGCAGAUGUCUGUAAGCACUGUAAGUAAUGAGAAGGCUCCUGCAGUGCCUUGAGUCAGCAAGGAGAAGAUGAUGCUCUCUAGUUAAAAGAUGCUAGGAGAGGAGGAAGCUGGACCUCCAGGGAGGAGUGGCUGUGCCCAGCUUGGGACUUGGGUGAAGACUUUGACACUUUCCCACACCACUUCCCAGUGAGUUCAGCUGGCACCAUUGCAGUGAAGAGGCUAGUGGUGUAUGGGCCAGGGCAGCUUCCGGACACCAGAUGCAACUGUGCUCUUUGUGCCUUUGUUACCGUCAGAAGUGAGAGAUCCACUAAAAUCACCACUGUCUAUGGAAAAUAGUGCCAAUUUUCAGUGCCAUGGCUCUCUAUUUGUACCCAUGGAACUAGGGAUCAAAACAUUGUUUCAUGCAACUGAAAAUGUUAAUUCCUUCUCCUUCCCUGUCCCCAACCUCCAACUAGGCCAUGCUCACCGUGACUGAGACUGGAGCUGUGCCAAGGCACUCCAUAGCUGAAGUGUCAAUAACCAUGUCUUGUUUAAAACAUUUGGGGAGCAAGGGAAGGGAGUUCUGGAACUUAACAUUUGCUUUCUGAUGGGACUAAAAUAUGAUACCUCUGUGUGCGUUAUCUGUAGCCGCUGCCACUGCCGUCUUGAGCGGUUCUAUCCCCUGCCACACCUGUAGAACAGCUGACCAGGAGGAGAAGUUCAGUCAGAUACUGCAAGUCAGUGCUGCACCAGACUGUCAACAGACUCCCUGGAUGGUAAAUAUUACAGGCGGUAUCUAGAGGGAAAGGUGCAUGAGUUACAGAAGGAGAUGCACCAGGGUAUAAUGGGGCUUCUCCAAUAGCAAACAUAAAUGCUACAAACUCCUGUUGACCUACAGGUUCAACAGUCAUGGGCUUGCCUCUCACUACAGCUAAUGGAGAACUACACUUCAGCACCUCCUUACACACCCGCAACAUUCCAUGUGUCGUCAGGGUCUCAUCCCUACCCCUUCCAGUCCUUCCUAUCCCCAGCUGUGGACAACCACAGCUUCACAAACUAACUAUGCCUCUCGCGGGUCAGUGUCUAUGUGUAGCAAAAAUGGACUAUAUUAGUGCACUGAAAUGCUGCUUUUCUAAAUUUAAAGUUCCAUUUGGUUAACUUAUGUCUGAAAUUUGCAUUGCCCUUUUUUAUUUGCACAUUUUUUCACCCCUUUUGUCAGUCAAUAAACUUUUCUUUAAAAAUAAAUAAAUGUUAAUUUGUUCAUACCUACUGCAGUACUCAAAGCAGCCAGUAGUUGUAUGUGUACAUCAACACAGACAGGACUUGUAGGGUCAAGAAAACAACCAGGCAUAUGUGUAAAUGUACUGCAAGCACCACAUAAUUCAUAGUUUCAGUAAAAGAAAAUGUAAUAGUUUAUAAAUGUACAGCAAAACACAAUCGCUGAUAGGUUCAUUGUAAGACACUAUAUUAUAUGUACACUAAAGCACUACACAAUUCCUAACUGCCCAAAAACUUUCAGGGCCAGGGUGCAGUCAAGCAUAGCAUGUUAAUAUGGCUGACCAUUAAAGUGCUCUUUCAAAGCAUCCCACAACC
Chelonia mydas (Green sea turtle) is the source of this 1587-nucleotide long non-coding RNA. RefSeq lists it as uncharacterized. The record is from RefSeq and is a predicted model, not a curated record. The transcript has 2 exons. NCBI's taxonomy places the organism in Eukaryota, Metazoa, Chordata, Testudines, Cheloniidae.